GACGAACGCUGGCGGCAUGCCUAACACAUGCAAGUCUAGGGGUAGCAAUACCACUGGCGCACGGGUGAGUAACACGUAGGUUAUCUGCCCCCAUCACAGACAUAACCCCGGGAAACCGGGGCUAAUAUCUGAUGAGGUCGCGAGAUCAAAGCUUCGGCGGAUGGGGAUGAGCCUGCGGCUGAUUAGCUAGUUGGUGAGGUAAUGGCUCACCAAGGCGACGAUCAGUAGCUGGUCUGAGAGGACGAACAGCCACACUGGAACUGAGACACGGUCCAGACUCCUACGGGAGGCAGCAGUGAGGAAUAUUGGUCAAUGGGAGCAAUCCUGAACCAGCAAUGCCGCGGUGUGGGAUGACAGGGCUUCGCCUUAGUAACCACUGUCGGACGGGACGAAAGGAGGCC
RNAcentral lists this ribosomal RNA (401 nucleotides) under uncultured bacterium. RNAcentral describes it as "bacterial SSU rRNA". It matches the Rfam family "Bacterial small subunit ribosomal RNA", at positions 28 to 457 of the family's 1533-position model. The record is from RNAcentral.